This 249-nucleotide ribosomal RNA is filed under the name uncultured prokaryote. RNAcentral describes it as "partial 16S ribosomal RNA". It matches the Rfam family "Bacterial small subunit ribosomal RNA", at positions 524 to 772 of the family's 1533-position model. The record is from RNAcentral.
UACGGAGGAUGCAAGCGUUAUCCGGAUUUAUUGGGUUUAAAGGGUGCGUAGGCGGAUAUGUAAGUCAGCGGUGAAACUCACAGGCUCAACCUGUGCCGUGCCGUUGAAACUGUGUAUCUGGAAUGCGGAUGCUGUGGGAGGAAUGUGUAGUGUAGCGGUGAAAUGCAUAGAUAUCACGAGGAACUCCGAUUGCGCAGGCAGCUUACUAAACCACUACUGACGCUCAUGCACGAAGGCGCGGGGAUCAAA